CGGGGCUGGAGGACCUGGCGAGGCGGUUGGCCCUCCGACCAAUCAGAGUGAAUGAGAGGCGGGACUUGAUUAUACCACGUGAUCAUCCUCGCGGACAGCGCGGCUGUGCGGGCGGAGAGCUGUCGCACAACCAGAACUGGAUAGAGUAUUCCAGAAGAGGCCUCCCCAUCAUCUUGUACAUCCUCAACAUAACGUCCCAACUCCUGUACUCCAAGGUCUGAACAAUCAAGAUCCCAGUGAUUAAUGCCAAAGCCCUGUUGCCUGGGGAGAGGGUGAUGUUUGACUUUCUUGUACAGCUGCAGUUUGUGUGGUGAAGGUGCUCCCACAAUGUGGUUGGGAUGAGGCUAUCACUGGCUCGGCCAGCAUUUAUUGCUGCGUUUACCCAGAGGGCAGUUAAGAAUCAACCACGUUGCUAUAGGUCUGGAGUCCCAUGCAGACCAGACCAGAUCCCAAUGAUCAAUGCCAAAGCCCCAUUGCCUGUGGAGAGGGUGAUGUUUGACUUCCCUGUACAGCUACAGUUCGUGUGGUGAAAUUGCUCCCACAAUGUGGUUGGCAAAUUCACACUGUGUAUGUGAGGGUGAGAAUGAAUUAGUAAAUACAAAUACUCCAACCGAAACCCCUCACAGGUCAGGAACUGUUUCUGCUGCUGGCAUCACUCACAAGGAACAGAAAAAUAAUAAAGGAUUCAUCCCAAAUCUUACAGGAACAUAGAGAUUGUAAUUACCAGGAAAGGCUGAACAACUCAAGAAAAGAGGAGGCUGAGGGCCAACCUGUCAUAAGUAGGAAGCUUUGUUUUUAUGGGCUCAGAGAUUUGAGGUUGGAAUCAUUGGGUCUGGAGCAUGUUUCAUUGCCCCAGGUCAAAGGUGCUAUCUAAAUGUGUAUCUUUCUUUUGUCUUUCUUCUGAGUUAACAAUCAGAUGGACAGGUCAAUGUCUGAGUAUCUUACCAAAUCCCUCAUUAAAUCUGUCUCCCCCCACAAACUCAGGUGCCUCACCAUUCACUGGGUCACAGAGAAACUCUGCUGUUACAAUGUGAACUGUCUUUGCUGUCGCCUCUCCUCGUAGUUCUGCCUAAUCCCCACUUCCCUUCAUUAAAUCCCAGCUGCCUGUAGUCCAUCCACAUGGGAAUGUUGAAGAGCAUGGCAGGAAAAUGGAUUGAAAUCGAGAGUUCAAUAGCCAGAAUGAGAGAGGAA
This is a long non-coding RNA of Hemiscyllium ocellatum (epaulette shark), 1191 nucleotides long. RefSeq lists it as uncharacterized. The record is from RefSeq and is a predicted model, not a curated record. The transcript is spliced from 6 exons. Lineage: Eukaryota; Metazoa; Chordata; Chondrichthyes; Orectolobiformes; Hemiscylliidae.